Molecule: ribosomal RNA, 342 nt
Filed under: uncultured Mucilaginibacter sp.
Lineage: Bacteria; Pseudomonadati; Bacteroidota; Sphingobacteriia; Sphingobacteriales; Sphingobacteriaceae
Description: bacterial SSU rRNA
Rfam family: Bacterial small subunit ribosomal RNA
Source: RNAcentral
GCCGCGGUAAUACGGAGGAUCCGAGCGUUAUCCGGAUUUAUUGGGUUUAAAGGGUGCGUAGGCGGAUCGUUAAGUCAGGGUUGAAAGACGCUUGCUCAACUAUCGCAGUGCCCUUGAUACUGAUGGGCUUGAAUUCAGUUGAGGUAGGCGGAAUGUGACUAGUAGCGGUGAAAUGCAUAGAUAUGUCACAGAACACCGAUUGCGAAGGCAGCUUACUAUACUGUGAUUGACGCUGAGGCACGAAAGCGUGGGGAUCAAACAGGAUUAGAUACCCUGGUAGUCCACGCCCUAAACGAUGAUAACUCGAUGUUGGCGAUAUACAGUCAGCGUCUAAGCGAAAGC